UGGGGAAUAUUGCACAAUGGGCGCAAGCCUGAUGCAGCCAUGCCGCGUGUAUGAAGAAGGCCUUCGGGUUGUAAAGUACUUUCAGCGAGGAGGAAGGCGUUGUGGUUAAUAACCGCAACGAUUGACGUUACUCGCAGAAGAAGCACCGGCUAACUCCGUGCCAGCAGCCGCGGUAAUAAGGAGGGUGCAAGCGUUAAUUGGAAUUACUGGGCGUAAAGCGCACGCAGGCGGUCUGUCAAGUCGGAUGUGAAAUCCCCGGGCUCAACCUGGGAACUGCAUCCGAAACUGGCAGGCUAGAGUCUUGUAGAGGGGGGUAGAAUUCCAGGUGUAGCGGUGAAAUGCGUAGAGAUCUGGAGGAAUACCGGUGGCGAAGGCGGCCCCCUGGACAAAGACUGACGCUCAGGUGCGAAAGCGUGGGGAGCAAACA
This 427-nucleotide ribosomal RNA is filed under the name uncultured bacterium. RNAcentral's name for it is "partial 16S ribosomal RNA". It matches the Rfam family "Bacterial small subunit ribosomal RNA", at positions 355 to 774 of the family's 1533-position model. The record is from RNAcentral.